Long non-coding RNA from Callorhinus ursinus (northern fur seal), 227 nucleotides. RefSeq lists it as uncharacterized. The record is from RefSeq and is a predicted model, not a curated record. Lineage: Eukaryota; Metazoa; Chordata; Mammalia; Carnivora; Otariidae.
UUCAGUGGAUCAGGAGAUCUGGAUUGGAACUGGCAAUCUGCAAUUUUAAGCAACACCCUGAAAGACAGAAGAUUCCAAACCAUUGGAAGGAGAAUGACAAACACAUCUUCCAAAAUAAUGGGAUGAAAAUAUUUUUUCUCUUCCAAGGAACUUUUGAAGUUUAAGUCCUCUCUGUCAUCAAAGAAAAGGCUUGGCCAGUGGUUUUCCAGAGAAUAAAAGGGAAGAAU